AUCGAGGUUUGCCAGGCCGACGGAAACCAACUGCAACACGCCUCGGACGUUGAUUCUCUUAAAUAAAUGGUAGUACCGAAUAAAUAACAAACUUAAAUCAGGACGGCCAGGCGUCCCCGAUUUCCCGGGGUGUUGCGUUAUGGGUGCCGUUCCCCAAAAUGUCCCCCCACAUUGAGAGGGGCGAAUGUGCGCAGACUCAAACACCAGUUAUUACGAUCGCCAGUAAACGCAUCACCAGAGAAGACGUCGUUUGACGUACAGACGUUAGCAGGAAGCGUGACCAGACGUAGCAGCAUCAGCAACAACUACCAAUCUAGAGGCGGAAAAAAGAGAGAGAAAAGGACACCAGCGGUUGCUGUGGUAAAUGGUGUGGACAAAUGCACAUCUGCACAUCGACCCCAAAUGUCAGACCCCUAAAUUAUCUGCUCUAAGUGCACCAAAUGUACCAAGCUAACACUGGGCGAUGGCGCUGAAACUGAGCACGGUGGCAGAGCAGAAGAGCUUGUGGAGAAACUUGACGGCUUUGCAGAUGAGUAUCGUCUGGAGUAACCAGCAGCAGUGAGGACUGGCCCCCAGCACCACGUCAAAGGGAACACACACCAGGCCGGCACAGAUGCCCGAGCAGGCCAGGUUCUUGAUGAAGCGAUUGGUCACCGAUUUGAAGACGUUGGUGCAGCAGCUCCUGACGACCUCUGACAGAGUGGUUCCCCAGAGAAACUACAUUAAACAAGAUGUGAUGUUCUGUCACCAAGACGUCCACCACCACCGUGAGAAGAGUGACUGUGACCUCCUUUUGAAUCACAAAAACAAAAACAGGUUCAGCACGACUUGUUUUGAGUUCACAGCCAACACUCGGUGGGUAAUUAUAUUUACUCACCCGUGUGUCACAGCUUAGGAGGUGUUUUUUUGGUUAUUUGUUUUUGUUUUUAACAAAUAUUCGGUUCAGUUGUCUAACAAGUGAGUAAUGACCCGAACAAUUAUUUUUUAAAAACGACAAACAAAUUUGAAAGUUGAGAAAUAUUGAGAAAUACCUAGAUUUGUCAUGCAGAAGAAAUUUGUAGGAAUGAAGCUAAAGUCUAUAGUAGUCCUUAAAUAAUUUAUUAAAUAUUGAAAAAUAAAAUAUCACAUGAAGUGCAAAAGUCCGUGUCUGUAGUGGAAAAUGACUUGUGUUAUUAUAUGGACACAGGGUUUUUAAACUGUGACAGUUUGGUUGUUCAGUUUCCUCCACAAAAUACAGAAAGAAACAGAAUAUGAGGAUUUUUAUAAGUCAUAUGUUAACAUUGGUUAAAUUUGUUUAAUUAUUUUUAAUGAUUACAGUCCAUUUGUCCAACACUGUUUUGAAAAAAAUGUGUCCUUGUUAUGUAUGUCUCCCUGCAGACAUCACUCUCACCUACAUAUUUAUAUAUAAUUAUAUAUAUUUAUAUAAAGCCAUGGCUCGUUUUCUAUUGUCCCUAUAAUCACUUUGUCCCUUUGUUCCUGAAAAUACUCACCUUGUACUUGAGGAACACCUUGGCAACCGCACACGGGAGCCAAUAAGGAGAGAGCAAACACCAAACAGUACUGUUCUGCAGCACUUAACAAAUGGGAGUCAGACUGCAGCCACGGACACCAGAAAUGAACAAAAACACUCAGAAAUACCGUCUGAGGUCUGAGGUCUUCUCUAACAUAGAGUGUGUCAUUUCCCAACUGGGGAUAAUGAACCUCUGUUAAAGAUGGUUUUAAAAAUCAACCUGUGAAACCUCAUUAGCACCCCCAUGUGUCCCCCAUGUGGUGCUAUGACUAUUUUAGUAUCAGUGAUCAUUUCCUCCUUAAUGAAGGGCUCCAUGCAGAGGAGCAGAGAGUCACACUUCCACACGCUUCACAUAAUGACUCACAAACCUGAUUACAGUCCACAGCUGCGUUACUGCUGGUGUAUAGUAGUAGACACAGUGUGGUACGUUAAUCAGAUUGGAACGCUGGCCUGUGCUCCGUCAGGAAGGAUAUUUAUAAUGGGAUCUGUCUGUGAUUAGAAAUCUCAUGAACUUAUGAAGGAGAAAUGUGUUUGUGUUCCUGUUGCUUUCAAAUGGUCUUGAACUUUAGGGAAAAGAAAAACUUACAAAACUGUUUUACAGCUGAUACGGUACAAGGAUUUCACCGAUACUUCUGUCUGUUGUGUUUCAAUAAACAAGCUCUGGGUAAGGCUAACAACUAUAAUUUUGGGAAAAAUCUAUAAAAAAAAAAGCUUAUUUACAUCCUUGGCUAGCUUUGAUUUAGCUGUUAGCUAUUUUGUGGUUAUCACAUGUUUGUAUCUGUCAGGAUUCGUUACUAUUAAAGUCUAAUCCUGUGGUGUUUG
Molecule: long non-coding RNA, 2332 nt
Organism: Cynoglossus semilaevis (tongue sole)
Lineage: Eukaryota; Metazoa; Chordata; Actinopteri; Pleuronectiformes; Cynoglossidae
Exons: 5
Source: RefSeq, a predicted model, not a curated record